UACGUAGGGUGCUAGCGUUAUCCGGAUUUACUGGGCGUAAAGGGUGCGUAGGUGGUCUUUCAAGUCGGUGGUUAAAGGCUACGGCUCAACCGUAUUAAGCCGCCGAAACUGGAAGACUUGAGUGCAGGAGAGGAAAGUGGAAUUCCUAGUGUAGUGGUGAAAUACGUAGAUAUUAGGAGGAAUACCAGUAGCGAAGGCGACUUUCUGGACACAAACUGACGCUGAGGCACGAAAGCGUGGGUAGCAAACAGG
RNAcentral lists this ribosomal RNA (252 nucleotides) under uncultured bacterium. Its description in RNAcentral is "partial 16S ribosomal RNA". It matches the Rfam family "Bacterial small subunit ribosomal RNA", at positions 524 to 776 of the family's 1533-position model. The record is from RNAcentral.